AGAGUUUUUUCCUGGCUCAGAUUGAACGCUGGCGGCAGGCCUAACACAUGCAAGUCGAGCGGUAGAGAGAAGCUUGCUUCUCUUGAGAGCGGCGGACGGGUGAGUAAUGCCUAGGAAUCUGCCUGGUAGUGGGGGAUAACGUUCGGAAACGGACGCUAAUACCGCAUACGUCCUACGGGAGAAAGCAGGGGACCUUCGGGCCUUGCGCUAUCAGAUGAGCCCAGGUCGGAUUAGCUAGUUGGUGGGGUAAUGGCUCACCAAGGCGACGAUCCGUAACUGGUCUGAGAGGAUGAUCAGUCACACUGGAACUGAGACACGGUCCAGACUCCUACGGGAGGCAGCAGUGGGGAAUAUUGGACAAUGGGCGAAAGCCUGAUCCAGCCAUGCCGCGUGUGUGAAGAAGGUCUUCGGAUUGUAAAGCACUUUAAGUUGGGAGGAAGGGCAGUAAAUUAAUACUUUGCUGUUUUGACGUUACCGACAGAAUAAGCACCGGCUAACUCUGUGCCAGCAGCCGCGGUAAUACAGAGGGUGCAAGCGUUAAUCGGAAUUACUGGGCGUAAAGCGCGCGUAGGUGGUUCGUUAAGUUGGAUGUGAAAUCCCCGGGCUCAACCUGGGAACUGCAUUCAAAACUGACGAGCUAGAGUAUGGUAGAAUGGAAUUCCUAGUGUAGCGGUGAAAUGCGUAGAGAUUAGGAAGAACACCAGUGGCGAAGGCGAUUCUCUGGACUGUAACUGACGCUGAGGCUCGAAAGCGUGGGGAGCAAACAGGAUUAGAUACCCUGGUAGUCCACGCCGUAAACGAUG
Molecule: ribosomal RNA, 803 nt
Filed under: uncultured bacterium
Lineage: Bacteria
Description: bacterial SSU rRNA
Rfam family: Bacterial small subunit ribosomal RNA
Source: RNAcentral